GGAAGUAAGAGUCGUAACAAGGUCUCCGUUGGUGAACCAGCGGAGGGAUCAUUACCGAGUGCAAACUCAUAACCCUUUGUGAACCUAUAUCUGUUGCUUCGGCGGCUCGCUCUCGGGCGAGCCCGCCGGUAAUAUCAGUAUCUCUGUUUGAACCCGACGAUACUUCUGAGUGUUCUUAGCGAACAGUUAAAACUUUUAACAACGGAUCUCUUGGCUCUA
RNAcentral lists this unclassified non-coding RNA (219 nucleotides) under plant metagenome. RNAcentral describes it as "partial contains small subunit ribosomal RNA, internal transcribed spacer 1, and 5.8S ribosomal RNA". The stretch from base 1 to 54 matches the Rfam family "Eukaryotic small subunit ribosomal RNA", at positions 1778 to 1831 of the family's 1831-position model. The record is from RNAcentral.